RNAcentral lists this ribosomal RNA (479 nucleotides) under uncultured bacterium. Its description in RNAcentral is "partial 16S ribosomal RNA". It matches the Rfam family "Bacterial small subunit ribosomal RNA", at positions 28 to 507 of the family's 1533-position model. The record is from RNAcentral.
GAUGAACGCUAGCGGGAGGCCUAACACAUGCAAGCCGAGCGGUAGAGUUCCUUCGGGAACUUGAGAGCGGCGUACGGGUGCGUAACACGUGUGCAACCUACCUUUAUCUGGGGGACAGCCUUUCGAAAGGAAGAUCAAUACCCCAUAAUAUAAUGAUUGGCAUCAAUUAUUAUUGAAAACUCCGGUGGAUAGAGAUGGGCACGCGCAAGAUUAGAUAGUUGGUGAGGUAACGGCUCACCAAGUCAAUGAUCUUUAGGGGUCCUGAGAGGGAGAUCCCCCACACUGGUACUGAGACACGGACCAGACUCCUACGGGAGGCAGCAGUGAGGAAUAUUGGACAAUGGGUGAAAGCCUGAUCCAGCCAUCCCGCGUGAAGGAUGACGGUCCUAUGGAUUGUAAACUUCUUUUGUACAGGGAUAAACCUACUCUCGUGAGGGUAGCUGAAGGUACUGUACGAAUAAGCACCGGCUAACUCCGUG